Molecule: ribosomal RNA, 372 nt
Filed under: uncultured bacterium
Lineage: Bacteria
Description: bacterial SSU rRNA
Rfam family: Bacterial small subunit ribosomal RNA
Source: RNAcentral
UACGGAGGAUCCAAGCGUUAUCCGGAUUUAUUGGGUUUAAAGGGUGCGCAGGCGGAUUGGUAAGUCAGUGGUGAAAUCCUCCCGCUCAACGGGAGAACUGCCAUUGAUACUAUCAGUCUUGAGUACAUUUGAAGUGGGCGGAAUGUGUCAUGUAGCGGUGAAAUGCUUAGAGAUGACACAGAACACCGAUAGCGAAGGCAGCUCACUAAACUGUAACUGACGCUCAGGCACGAAAGCGUGGGGAUCAAACAGGAUUAGAUACCCUGGUAGUCCACGCCGUAAACGAUGAUUACUCGAUGUGUGCGAUACACAGUACGCGUCUAAGGGAAACCGAUAAGUAAUCCACCUGGGGAGUACGUUCGCAAGAAUGAA